GUUAGACCAUGAGGUAAGAACGUGAGGUUAGAACAAGAAGUUAGAAUGUGAGGUUAAAAUGACAGGUCAGAACGUGAGGUGAGAACAAGAGGUUAGAACGUGAGGUUAGACCGUGAGGUAAGAACGUGAGGUUAGAACAUGAAGUUAGAACGUGAGGUUAGAAUGUGAGGUUAGAAUGACAGGCUAGAACGUUAGGUGAGAACAAGAGGUUAGAGCGUGAGGUAAGAACGUGUCGUAAAAAUGCGAGGUUUAAACGUGAGAUUUGACCAUGAGAUUAGACCGUGAGGUUAGAGCGUGAGGUUGGAAUGACAGGUUAGAACGUGUCGUAAAAACGUGAGGUUUGAACGUGAGGUCAGAACGUGAGGUUAGAGCGUGAGGUUGGAAUGACAGGUUAGAACAUGAGGUGAGAACAAGAGGUUAGAGCGUGAAGUUGGAAUGACAGGUUAGAACAUAUGAUAAAAACGUGAGGUUAGAGCGUGAGGUUGGAAUGACAGGUUAGAACGUAUCAUAAAAACGUGAGGUUAGAGCGUGAGGUUGGAAUGACAGGUUAGAACGUGAGGUGAGAACAAGAGGUUAGAAUGACAGGUUAGAACGUGAGGUGAGAACAAGAGGUUAGAGCGUGAAGUUGGAAUGACAGGUUAGAACAUAUGAUAAAAACGUGAGGUUACAACGUGAGGUUGGAAUGACAGGUUAGAACGUAUCAUAAAAACGUGAGGUUAGAACGUGAGGUUGGAAUGACAGGUUAGAACGUAUCAUAAAAACGUGAGGUUACAACGUGAGGUUGGAAUGACAGGUUAGAACGUAUCAUAAAAACGUGAGGUUAGAGCGUGAGGUUGGAAUGACAGGUUAGAACGUAUCAUAAAAACGUGAGGUUAGAGCGUGAGGUUGGAAUGACAGGUUAGAACGUAUCAUAAAAACGUGAGGUUAGAGCGUGAGGUUGGAAUGACAGGUUAGAACGUAUCAUAAAAACGUGAGGUUAGAGCGUGAGGUUAGAAUGACAGGUUAGAAUGUGAGGUGAGAACAAGAGGUUAGAGCGUGAAGUUGGAAUGACAGGUUAGAACAUAUGAUAAAAACGUGAGGUUACAACGUGAGGUAAGAAUGACAGGUUAGAGCGUGAGGUUAGAACGUGUCGUAAAAACGCGAGGUUUGAACGUGAGAUUAGAGCGUGAGGUAAGAACGUGUCGUAAAAACGUGAGGUCAGAACGUGAAGUUAGAGCGUGAGGUUAGAACGUGAGGUUAAGAGCAUGAGGUUUGAACUGAGGUUAGAACAUGAGGUUAGAAUGUAAGGUAAGAACAUGAGGUUAGAACGUAACGUAAAAACGUGAGGUUUGAACAUGAGAUUAGAGCGUCAGGUUAGAAUGAGAGGUUAGAACGCAUCAUAAAAACGUGAGGUUAGAAUGUAAGUUAAGAACGUGAGGUAAAUACGAGAAGUUAGAACAUGAGGUUUAGAAUAUGAGGUUAAAAUGACAGGUUAGAACGUGAGGUUAGACCAUGAGGUAAGAACGUGAGGUUAGAACAAGAAGUUAGAAUGUGAGGUUAAAAUGACAGGUCAGAACGUGAGGUGAGAACAAGAGGUUAGAACGUGAGGUUAGACCGUGAGGUAAGAACGUGAGGUUAGAACAUGAAGUUAGAACGUGAGGUUAGAAUGUGAGGUUAGAAUGACAGGCUAGAACGUUAGGUGAGAACAAGAGGUUAGAGCGUGAGGUAAGAACGUGUCGUAAAAAUGCGAGGUUUAAACGUGAGAUUUGACCAUGAGAUUAGACCGUGAGGUUAGAGCGUGAGGUUGGAAUGACAGGUUAGAACGUGUCGUAAAAACGUGAGGUUUGAACGUGAGGUCAGAACGUGAGGUUAGAGCGUGAGGUUGGAAUGACAGGUUAGAACAUGAGGUGAGAACAAGAGGUUAGAGCGUGAGGUUGGAAUGACAGGUUAGAACGUGUCGUAAAAACGUGAGGUUUGAACGUGAGGUCAGAACGUGAGGUUAGAGCGUGAGGUUGGAAUGACAGGUUUGAACGUGAGGUCAGAACGUGAGGUUAGAGCGUGAAGUUGGAAUGACAGGUUAGAACAUAUGAUAAAAACGUGAGGUUAGAGCGUGAGGUUGG
Long non-coding RNA from Micropterus dolomieu (smallmouth bass), 2099 nucleotides. RefSeq lists it as uncharacterized. The record is from RefSeq and is a predicted model, not a curated record. The transcript is spliced from 3 exons. Lineage: Eukaryota; Metazoa; Chordata; Actinopteri; Centrarchiformes; Centrarchidae.